RNAcentral lists this ribosomal RNA (216 nucleotides) under Glomeromycotina sp. Its description in RNAcentral is "partial small subunit ribosomal RNA". The stretch from base 40 to 216 matches the Rfam family "Eukaryotic small subunit ribosomal RNA", at positions 686 to 864 of the family's 1831-position model. The record is from RNAcentral. Lineage: Eukaryota; Fungi; Glomeromycota.
GGGUCAGUAGGUUGGUCGUGCCACCGGUACGUACUGGUCUCACUGAUUCCUCCUUCCUGAAGAACCGUAAUGCCAUUAAUUUGGUGUUGCGGGGAAACAGGACUGUUACUUUGAAAAAAUUAGAGUGUUUAGAGCAAGCUAACGCUUGAAUACAUUAGUAUGGAAUAAUGAAAUAGGACGAUCGAUCCUAUUUUGUUGGUUUCUAGGAUUGACGUA